CCGCCCUAAGCCCAACUAUCCAGCAGCCCAAGUCUGUCAUCACAGAUUGAGCCAGCCCAAAUCCUCUCUUCCUCUUCUUCUUUCUUCCUUACGUCUCAGCGUCUGUCUCUACUACAUUCCGGCGGACGGUGGUUAUGGCGAAUCCAGCUAGGUCGGCCGCUCGCCACCACCUAGAUCCGCCACUGGUCAAAACCGACGAACCGUUUGGAUUGGUUGUUUGGUAGAAAAAGGUAACAUGAAAGUGAGCUCGGAAAUGACCAUUUCAAAGAUCUCGAAGCGAGCUUCUGAAACACGAGAGACUAUCUGGCAUUCAUAAUAGGGUGCUGAUCAUAGCAAAAUCGUCUAUAAUUAACUCACCAACCUGUUGUCCCUCAUUGGUGGUCUCGUCAAGGCACCCAGCUUUUCAAUUUAUUGGCAAUUGUAGUCUCCAGUUUUCAACCUUCAGCAGCAUUUUUUGCCCCGUUUAUGAUUGUUGACUGAUACUUGAAUGGCCAGCAACACAAGGCAGUGCUGUCUCAACCAAAGCUUGAGUUCUUGACUAAUUUUUUAUUUUGUUUCUCCUGUCGCUGGAAUAAUUGUAUCGGGGCAGGGAAACGAGCCAUCAACGUAUAUGGGAUUGUAACCAAAUAGUGAAUUGGUAAAUUGGGUUUUACAGAAAGAGUAAUUUAUGCUUUUGGACAGCUUGAAGGGUGUUUGAGAAGCGGCAUAAGGGAGAUAAGAAGACCGGACUGGUUUAAAUAUAUCCUGCAGUUAAGGGGGUUGAGGAGUCCAAAGACAUAAUGAAGAAGGAAUUUAGAAAAGGUUAUGAAAUGAAGGUCCUUGGCAGAGGUUCUGUCCUCCAUUUAUUUAUUAUUAUUUUUUUUUUAGGCUAG
Molecule: long non-coding RNA, 872 nt
Filed under: Olea europaea subsp. europaea
Lineage: Eukaryota; Viridiplantae; Streptophyta; Magnoliopsida; Lamiales; Oleaceae
Source: RNAcentral